RNAcentral lists this ribosomal RNA (425 nucleotides) under uncultured bacterium. RNAcentral's name for it is "partial 16S ribosomal RNA". It matches the Rfam family "Bacterial small subunit ribosomal RNA", at positions 354 to 796 of the family's 1533-position model. The record is from RNAcentral.
GAUAGGAAUAUUGGACAAUGGGCGCAAGCCUGAUCCAGCCAUGCCGCGUGAGUGAUGAAGGCCUUCGGGUUGUAAAGCUCUUUAGCCGAUGAUUAUAAUGACUGUAGUCGGAAAAUAAGCCCCGGCUAACUUCGUGCCAGCAGCCGCGGUAAUACGAAGGGGGCGAGCGUUAUUCGGAAUCACUGGGCGUAAAGCGUGCGUAGGCGGCUUUGCAAGUUGGGAGUGAAAGCCCAGGGCUCAACCCUGGAAUUGCUCUCAAAACUGCAAGGCUCGAAGUCGAGAGAGGAUAGCGGAAUUGUCAGUGUAGCAGUGAAAUGCGUAGAUAUUGACAGGAACACCAGUGGCGUAAGCGUCUAUCUGGACCGAUAUUGACGCUUAGGCACGAAAGCGUGGGGAUCAAACAGGAUUAGAAACCCUUGUAGUCC